GACGAACGCUGGCGGCGUGCUUAACACAUGCAAGUCGAACGGAAAGGCCUGCUUUCCCUUGUGGAUUGCGGGUACUCGAGUGGCGAACGGGUGAGUAACACGUGAGUUAUCUGCCCCCAACUUGGGUAUAAGCCUGGGAAACUGGGUCUAAUUCCCGAUAGGACUGCAGGGUGGUGCCUGUGGUUGAAAACGAUUUUCUAGUGGUUGGGGAUGAGCUCGCGGCCUAUCAGCUUGUUGGUGGGGUAAUGGCCUACCAAGGCGGCGACGGGUAGCCGGCCUGAGAGGGUGGACGGCAACAUUGGGACUGAGCUACGGCCCAGACUCCUACGGGAGGCAGCAGUGGGGAAUAUUGCACAAUGGGCGGAAGCCUGAGGCAGCGACGCCGCGUGGGGGAUGACGGCCUUCGGGUUGUAAACUCCUUUCGACAGCGAGGAAGCCACCUGGUUGGAAGGGUGGUGACGGUAGUGGUAGAAGAAGCACCGGCUAACUACGUG
This 494-nucleotide ribosomal RNA is filed under the name uncultured bacterium. RNAcentral describes it as "partial 16S ribosomal RNA". It matches the Rfam family "Bacterial small subunit ribosomal RNA", at positions 28 to 507 of the family's 1533-position model. The record is from RNAcentral.